GCCUUCGUGGUGUAAUGGUCAGCACACUCAGCGCGUAUUCGAGAGGUCCGAGGUUCGAGUCCCGGCGAGGGUA
RNAcentral lists this transfer RNA (73 nucleotides) under Stegodyphus mimosarum. It matches the Rfam family "tRNA". Rfam says of the family: Transfer RNA (tRNA) molecules are approximately 80 nucleotides in length. Their secondary structure includes four short double-helical elements and three loops (D, anti-codon, and T loops). Lineage: Eukaryota; Metazoa; Arthropoda; Arachnida; Araneae; Eresidae. The record is from Rfam by way of RNAcentral.